This 104-nucleotide ribosomal RNA is filed under the name uncultured bacterium. RNAcentral's name for it is "partial 16S ribosomal RNA". The record is from RNAcentral.
CAACGCCGGCGUUGGGAGGAAUGAAAUUCCCUUGGGAUGUAAACUCCUUUCGAUAGGGAAGAUAAUGACGGUACCUAUAGAAGAAGCCCCGGCUAACUUCGUGC